Long non-coding RNA from Acromyrmex echinatior (Panamanian leafcutter ant), 497 nucleotides. The record is from RefSeq and is a predicted model, not a curated record. Lineage: Eukaryota; Metazoa; Arthropoda; Insecta; Hymenoptera; Formicidae.
AUGCGGGUUCCAUUUAAAAAAUUUAAAAUGACUUUGAGCUGACCUUAAUUUGUCUUUCUUCGAACUAUACAACUUUUGCUUAAAAUUUUUAAUAUGUUUGUACAUACGCGGACAUACAACGCGUUUUUUCUAUCAGUUAUUGCGAAGAAUAUUUCCGAAGCCUCAAUGGUCGAGCUGACUAAGAUACUCUUCCCGGAUAGUUGAGAAGUUCCAGGUUCGAGGCCUCUGACUGAGCUGUGAACGCGCUACCUAAGCGCGGCCGUCGACGCUCGCCAAUAGAAGGACUUUCUUAUUAUUGGUGCCUUUUUUUUCCACAUUCCUUGCUACAUUCUUUGUCCAUUUUAUGGUCCCGGAAAUGCCGGAAUUUACGAAUAACAUCAGUGGAAAUCCAGAAUCAUGAUCGGCGAUGAAUUCUGUAUACGAUGCAGAGGGAAAAUGGAUUUAUAACAUGUCAAAUAUUAUUCAUAUUUUCUAUUAAAGAAAAAAAUAAAAAAUCA